This 253-nucleotide ribosomal RNA is filed under the name uncultured bacterium. Its description in RNAcentral is "partial 16S ribosomal RNA". It matches the Rfam family "Bacterial small subunit ribosomal RNA", at positions 524 to 776 of the family's 1533-position model. The record is from RNAcentral.
UACGGAGGGUGCAAGCGUUAUCCGGAUUCACUGGGUUUAAAGGGUGCGUAGGCGGGCAGGUAAGUCAGUGGUGAAAUCUCCGGGCUUAACCCGGAAACUGCCGUUGAUACUAUCUGUCUUGAAUAUCGUGGAGGUAAGCGGAAUAUGUCGUGUAGCGGUGAAAUGCUUAGAUAUGACAUAGAACACCCAUUGCGAAGGCAGCUUACUACACGAUCAUUGACGCUGAGGCACGAAAGCGUGGGGAGCAAACAGG